RNAcentral lists this ribosomal RNA (1211 nucleotides) under Systolederus spicupennis. Its description in RNAcentral is "SSU rRNA". It matches the Rfam family "Eukaryotic small subunit ribosomal RNA". Lineage: Eukaryota; Metazoa; Arthropoda; Insecta; Orthoptera; Tetrigidae. The record is from RNAcentral.
UACGGUGUUGGUUCACCGCCCGUCGGUGUUAACUGGCAUGAUCGUGGGACGUCCUGCCGGUGGUGGCGAGUCGAAGGCGCGYGUCCGYUGCGGCUAACGUUGUGUGCGGUGCCGUGGCUGUAGGCGGACCCCGAUAAAAUCCCUCCGCGGUGCUCUUCACUGAGUGUCGAGGUGGGCCGGCACGUUUACUUUGAACAAAUUAGAGUGCUUAAAGCAGGCAAGCCCGCCUGAAUAUUGUGUGCAUGGAAUAAUGGAAUAGGACCUCGGUUCUAUUUUGUUGGUUUUCGGAACCCGAGGUAAUGAUUAAUAGGGACAGGCGGGGGCAUUCGUAUUGCGACGUUAGAGGUGAAAUUCUUGGAUCGUCGCAAGACGAACAGAAGCGAAAGCAUUUGCCAAGUAUGUUUUCAUUAAUCAAGAACGAAAGUUAGAGGUUCGAAGGCGAUCAGAUACCGCCCUAGUUCUAACCAUAAACGAUGCCAGCCAGCGAUCCGCCGCAGUUCCUCCGAUGACUCGGCGGGCAGCCCCGGGAAACCAAGCUUUUGGGUUCCGGGGGAAGUAUGGUUGCAAAGCUGAAACUUAAAGGAAUUGACGGAAGGGCACCACCAGGAGUGGAGUCUGCGGCUUAAUUUGACUCAACACGGGAAAGCUCACCAGGCCCGGACACCCGAAGGAUUGACAGAUUGAUAGCUCUUUCUUGAUUGGGUGUGUGGUGGUGCAUGGCCGUUCUUAGUUCGUGGACUGAUUUGUCUGGUUAAUUCCGAUAACGACCGAGACUCUAGCCUCUAAAUAGUCGUCGACAUCCUCGGCUGUCGGCAUCACAUUUCUUCUUAGAGGGACGGCGGUUACCGCACAGAUUAGCAUAACAGGUCUGUGAUGCCCUUAGAUGUUCUGGGCCGCACGCGCGCUACACUGAAGAAUCAGCGUGUCUUCCUAGGCCGAAAGGUCCGGUAACCCGUAACCUCCUUCGUGCUAGGAUUGGGGUUGCAAUUUUCCCCAUGAACGAGGAAUUCCAGUAAGCGCGAGUCAUAAACUGCGUUGAUUACGUCCCUGCCCUUUGUACACACCGCCCGUCGCUACUACGAUUGAAUGAUUUAGUGAGGUCUUCGACUGGUGCGCGGCGUCGACUUGUUCGUAGCCGAUGUUUCUGGAAAGAUGACCAAACUUGAUUAUUUAAGGAAGUAAAAGUCGUAACAAGGUUUCCGUAGGUGAAC